This is a long non-coding RNA of Ornithodoros turicata, 536 nucleotides long. RefSeq lists it as uncharacterized. The transcript has 3 exons. NCBI's taxonomy places the organism in Eukaryota, Metazoa, Arthropoda, Arachnida, Ixodida, Argasidae. The record is from RefSeq and is a predicted model, not a curated record.
AAUUCGCGGAGGGCGAUGAGAUAAUGCAUACGGCGACAGUACCCGUCUUGCAACCUCACCGCCAGGAACGCUCGAAGGAUUCAACCUCCUUGCUGUCCACGCCCUGCGAAUACUGGGUUCGUGCGUGAAGGGUUCAGAAGCAAUAAAGAACAUGUUUGUGCAUUAUGAUACACCUGUGCCGGUGACACCGUGCAUCAUGUUCACUGGGAGCAGCAUUGAAGAAGCGGAGCAUAUGGACCUCUAUGUCGGCGAGUAGCGCCUUCUCAGAACCAUCGACCUUGAAGAGGGCUUGGCUGCCAUUCUUGCAGCUAUUGGUUAAUUCAUAUUGUCUACAGUGCAAAGCCGCACCGUACAUUUUGAAGCCUGGAAGAGCGGUGCCUGAAAGUGAGUGACUCUCGUGUAAGAAGCCCCGUGGAUCAUUUUUUUCAACAGUUACGGAAAAGAGCUUGUGGAUGCUUCGAACAUCUAAAACAUUUGCUACUUUAACUGACUUGUAGUGAGCCCUGCAUCCCCCCCUCCCCCGCCCACCUCCCAAA